UGGGUAACCCACCUCGAUGACCGGGACAACCCGAGGAAACUCGGGCUAAUACCGGAUGUGAUGACUCCUUGUAAGGGGAGUUAGGAAAGAUAACUUCGGCCUUCGCAUCGAGACGGGCCCGCGGCCCAUUAGCUUGUUGGUGGGGUAAUGGCCUACCAAGGCUUCGAUGGGUAGCUGGUCUGAGAGGACGAUCAGCCACACUGGGACUGAGACACGGCCCAGACUCCUACGGGAGGCAG
This 239-nucleotide ribosomal RNA is filed under the name uncultured bacterium. Its description in RNAcentral is "partial 16S ribosomal RNA". It matches the Rfam family "Bacterial small subunit ribosomal RNA", at positions 118 to 351 of the family's 1533-position model. The record is from RNAcentral.